This 80-nucleotide transfer RNA is filed under the name Cryptomonas curvata. RNAcentral's name for it is "tRNA-Ala". It matches the Rfam family "tRNA". Rfam says of the family: Transfer RNA (tRNA) molecules are approximately 80 nucleotides in length. Their secondary structure includes four short double-helical elements and three loops (D, anti-codon, and T loops). Further hydrogen bonds mediate the characteristic L-shaped molecular structure. tRNAs have two regions of fundamental functional importance: the anti-codon, which is responsible for specific mRNA codon recognition, and the 3' end, to which the tRNAs corresponding amino acid is attached (by aminoacyl-tRNA synthetases). tRNAs cope with the degeneracy of the genetic code in two manners: having more than one tRNA (with a specific anti-codon) for a particular amino acid; and 'wobble' base-pairing, i.e. permitting non-standard base-pairing at the 3rd anti-codon position. The record is from RNAcentral. Lineage: Eukaryota; Cryptophyceae; Cryptomonadales; Cryptomonadaceae.
GGGGAUAUAACGCAGUGGUAGCGUGUUUGCUUUGCAAGCAAAAAGUCAUGAGUUCGAAUUAUAAAGCCUCAUUAUCUCCA